This 253-nucleotide ribosomal RNA is filed under the name uncultured bacterium. Its description in RNAcentral is "partial 16S ribosomal RNA". It matches the Rfam family "Bacterial small subunit ribosomal RNA", at positions 524 to 776 of the family's 1533-position model. The record is from RNAcentral.
UACGUAGGGUGCGAGCGUUAAUCGGAAUUAUUGGGCGUAAAGGGCGCGUAGGCGGCCAACUAAGUCAGACGUGAAAUCCCCGGGCUCAACCCGGGAACUGCGUCCGAUACUGGAAGGCUUGAAUCCGGGAGAGGGAUGCGGAAUUCCAGGUGUAGCGGUGAAAUGCGUAGAUAUCUGGAGGAACACCGGUGGCGAAGGCGGCAUCCUGGACCGGCAUUGACGCUGAGGCGCGAAAGCCAGGGGAGCAAACGGG